This 72-nucleotide transfer RNA is filed under the name Ovis aries (sheep). It matches the Rfam family "tRNA". Rfam says of the family: Transfer RNA (tRNA) molecules are approximately 80 nucleotides in length. Their secondary structure includes four short double-helical elements and three loops (D, anti-codon, and T loops). Lineage: Eukaryota; Metazoa; Chordata; Mammalia; Artiodactyla; Bovidae. The record is from Rfam by way of RNAcentral.
UCCUUGGUGGCUCAGAGGUUAAAGCAUCCGCCUGAAGUGUGGGAGACCCAGGUUCGAUCCCUUGGUGGGGAA